This 374-nucleotide RNase P RNA is filed under the name Candidatus Magnetoglobus multicellularis str. Araruama. RNAcentral's name for it is "Bacterial RNase P class A". It matches the Rfam family "Bacterial RNase P class A". Rfam says of the family: Ribonuclease P (RNase P) is a ubiquitous endoribonuclease, found in archaea, bacteria and eukarya as well as chloroplasts and mitochondria. Its best characterised activity is the generation of mature 5'-ends of tRNAs by cleaving the 5'-leader elements of precursor-tRNAs. Lineage: Bacteria; Pseudomonadati; Thermodesulfobacteriota; Desulfobacteria; Desulfobacterales; Desulfobacteraceae. The record is from Rfam by way of RNAcentral.
AAAGCAAGCCAGACGAUCGCCAGUCAAUCUGGAGGAAAGUCCGAACACCACAGGGCAGGGUGCUUCAUAACGUGAAGUCAUGGCAACGUGAAGGAAAGUGCAACAGAAAGCAUACCGCCGAUGAUGAAUUCAUUAUGAAUUCAAACAGGUAAGGGUGAAAAGGUGAGGUAAGAGCUCACCAGUUCUUCGGGUGACCGAAGAAGCUUUGUAAACCCCACCCGGUGCAAGACCAAAUAGAUAAACGCUUGAGAACGGCCCGUUCAAGUUUUCGGGUAGGUCGCGUGAGAUAUCAAGCAAUUGAUAUCCUUAGAUGAAUGAUCGUCACCAACUGAACUUUAGUUGGUACAGAAUUCGGCUUAUGGCUCGCUUUGGCC